UGUAAUAAUCUAAAAAUUUCAAAUUUAGAAUUUUAUUUAGAAUUUUUUUUUUUUAGAAACCAAAACUCCAAAUAACUUACCACAUUAACAUUUGAAAACAUCUCUGCUGCAAACACCAAGCAUUUUUCACAAUUUCACUCUCUCUCUAAGAAAAGCUUACCUUUCAUCUCUGUCUUCUCUCUAAUCCCACUCUCCAUUAAUCNAGAUGAUUUCCAACAUGAUGGUGCCUCAGUAAUUGCAACGCAGAGAGCCCCAUCUUCCACAAAUCAAUUUCUUCAAAUCUGACCGGUUAGUAUACUUCUUCUACCUUUCAUGAAACUUUGGGGCUAGACAAGCAAUUAGGGUUGUUGCAUGUCUAUUAGGGAUUCCAUUUUCAAAUUCUAACUUAAAUUAGGUGUUAAGAGUUGCUCCUUUUUCCAGUUUAUAAUCUGUAGAUUUUCUAGAAUUUUCGAAAAGUGCAAGCUUGAUCGGGUUUAGUUGGAGCAUACUGUGAAAUUCAGAGGUAAGGGAAGCUAGGUUCUAAGUUCUGUUUGAAAUUAUUGUAUUCUUGUUUGAUCCUUUAGAUAGAAUUGUUAUUGUGUGAUGCAUGUGUAAUUUGGGUGAAGAAAUUACUGUAUUUUGAAUUGGAUGAAAAAUGCAUGAACUAAAAUAGAGUAUUUAUAUUCUAGAGCUGAUAUGAACCAAUAGGNNGACAAUUUUUGAGUUACAUGAUUAUGUGAUGAUGUGAAUUUGGUUGGAAAAGGGUGUGAAUUUAGUUUGCUGCAGUUAGUAAGUAGAGAGUUAAGUUAAUUACAAAAUAGGAGUUAAUUUAGGNAACUUGGGUAAUGAAAUUUUGAGUUAGUGGUCUAUACUUGAAUUGGGACAUAUAGGUAUUUUAGAUAAGACAAUUAUGACUUGUAGGUAGCACCAAAAGAGUUAAAAACAGUUUCUAAAUGGUAUAAUUCAGAUUGAGUCUCUAGGANGAGCAAAUUAGAGUUUUAGAUCCAAUUUCCUUGCAUAUCUCCUAGAGUUUUGAGUUAGGAUGGUGUGUGAGACUUCAAACAAGUUAGAUUUAGCCUAUAGAUCGAGUUAGGAGUGUCCAAAGCUCAUCAAAUGGCCUAAAACAGAUUUGGAGGGUGUGAGUUCUGCAAAAUCUGCAUAAAAUCUGCAGAACUCACGCUCGGGCGCCCCUAACGGGCGCUUGGGCGCCACUUUCUGCUGUCAUGUUUGUUUUUGACAGUUCGGGGGGUUCCGGACGUCCGUUUUGGACGUUCUCUAGGUCGUUCUGGGGGUUUUUGACCCUUCCGGAGCUAAUGGUGUGGGUUUUCAAGCUAUUUGAAUUACCUAAGUAUGNGUAAUUUAAGAUUACAAAGAUAUUUGUAUUAAUAAGUAAUCUUUUUCUGAAAAUAUGUAAUUCUUGUUUCCUCUUCUUCCUUGUGUGAUGAUUCAUGUAUUUGUUAUGGUUCCUCUUGUAUGACUUCUAUUAAUAUUAUUGGAUUGAUCUAUNCUUGAUAAUGUAACAAAACCAAAUUAAUCUCCUAACUUCAGGUAUAACAUUAAGAAUUAAAGUAAGUGAAGUUGGUGUGGUAUGAUGUGUGAAUCAAAGGGUUAAACAUCAAUCUCUAGGUGAGAUAUAAGUAAGUUU
RNAcentral lists this long non-coding RNA (1624 nucleotides) under Vigna radiata. RNAcentral describes it as "long non-coding RNA (VRAD_LNC017317)". Lineage: Eukaryota; Viridiplantae; Streptophyta; Magnoliopsida; Fabales; Fabaceae. The record is from RNAcentral.